This 928-nucleotide ribosomal RNA is filed under the name Bacillus subtilis. RNAcentral's name for it is "bacterial SSU rRNA". It matches the Rfam family "Bacterial small subunit ribosomal RNA", at positions 582 to 1509 of the family's 1533-position model. The record is from RNAcentral. Lineage: Bacteria; Bacillati; Bacillota; Bacilli; Caryophanales; Bacillaceae.
UUCUAAUAUAAUGUGAAAACCCCGGUUACCGGGGGAGGGUCAUUGGAAAUUGGGGGAACUUGAGUCGGAGAGGAGGAGUGAAAUUCCACGUGUACCGUUGAAAUGGGUAGAGAUGGGGAGGAACACCAGUGGCGAAAGGGGAUUCUAUCUUUUUAAAUGACGCUGAGGAGCGAAAACGUGGGGAGCGGAACAGAAUUAGAUUCCCCGGUAGUUCCACGCCCUAAACCGAAGAGGGUUUAAUUUAGGGGUGUUUCCCCCCCUUUAGUGGGGCAGGUAACGCAUUAACAAUCCGCCUGGGGAGUACGGUCGCAAGCAUGAAAUCAUACGAAGUAACGGGGGCGGGCACCAGCGGUGGAUCAAGUGGGUGAAUUAGUUGGAACCAGAAGGACCAUCCCAGGUCAUCCCUUCCUUUGACAGUCCUAGAGAUUGGUUGUCCCCUUCGGGGGCAGAGACCCAAAUGCUGCAUGGUCGUUGUCAGCCUCAGUUCGGAGAUGGUGAGUUAAGUCUCGGUACGGGCGCGAGCCCUGAUCUUGGCUGCCAGCCUUCAGAUGGGCAAUUUAAAGUGGACUCCGGUGGCAAAACCGGGGGAGGUGGGGAUGAACGCAAAUCCUCCUUCCCCUUAUGGCCUGGGGUACACACGGUCUACAAAGGGCAGAACAAAGGGCAGGGAAACCCGGGGGGUGGACCCAUCCCCAGAAUCCCGUUUCAAUUCGGGUUGCCAUUUUCAAAUUGGCUGGCUGAAAGUGGAAAUCGUUGUAAUUCCCGAUUCACCAUGCGCCGGGAAAUAGUUUCCCGGCUCUUGUCCCCACCGCCCUCCCCCCCCGAGAGUUGGGAACCCCCGAAGUUAGGGCGGUAACCUUCAAGGAGCCAGCCGCCGAAGGUGGGACAGAUGAUGGGGUGAAGUCGUAUCAAAGGACGCCGUAUGCCC